Molecule: unclassified non-coding RNA, 230 nt
Filed under: plant metagenome
Description: partial contains small subunit ribosomal RNA, internal transcribed spacer 1, and 5.8S ribosomal RNA
Source: RNAcentral
UCUCCGUAGGUGAACCUGCGGAGGGAUCAUUACCGAGCUCAUGCCCUUACGGGUAGAUCUCCCACCCUGUGUUAUUAUUACCUUUGUUGCUUUGGCGGGCCGCCAGGCUCCGGUCAGGCUAUCGGCUUCGGCUGGUAAGCGCCCGCCAGAGGACCCUAUAUCCUGAUUAUUAGUGUCGUCUGAGUACUAUAUAAUAGUUAAAGCUUUCAACAACGGAUCUCUUGGUUCUG